CGAACGGGUGAGUAAUAUAUCGGAACGUGCCCAGUAGUGGGGGAUAGCCCGGCGAAAGCCGGAUUAAUACCGCAUACGACCUACGGGUGAAAGCGGGGGAUCGCAAGACCUCGCGCUAUUGGAGCGGCCGAUAUCAGAUUAGCUAGUUGGUGGGGUAAAAGCCUACCAAGGCGACGAUCUGUAGCUGGUCUGAGAGGACGACCAGCCACACUGGGACUGAGACACGGCCCAG
RNAcentral lists this ribosomal RNA (232 nucleotides) under uncultured bacterium. RNAcentral's name for it is "partial 16S ribosomal RNA". It matches the Rfam family "Bacterial small subunit ribosomal RNA", at positions 99 to 334 of the family's 1533-position model. The record is from RNAcentral.